GUUUUUGGGGCGUGUGCCUGUAGUCCCAGCUACUAGGGAGGCUGAGGCUGGAGGAUCGCUUGAGUCCAGGAGUUCUGGGCUGUAGUGUGCUAUGCCGAUCGGGUGUCCGCACUAAGUUCGGCAUCAAUAUGGUGAUGGUGACCUCCCGGGAGCGGGGGACCACCAGGUUGCCUAAGGAGGGGUGAACCGGCCCAGGUCGGAAACGGAGCAGGUCAAAACUCCCGUGCUGAUCAGAUCUUUCUAAAAAUCUAACCAAAACUUGCUAUUUUUAGUUUUUCAAAUAUUUAUCGAUAUGU
Macaca fascicularis (crab-eating macaque) is the source of this 296-nucleotide non-coding RNA. The record is from Rfam. NCBI's taxonomy places the organism in Eukaryota, Metazoa, Chordata, Mammalia, Primates, Cercopithecidae.